GUCAGUUUGACCAGUGUGUGUGCAAGAGAGGGCAGAGUGGGCUCAAUAGGGAGAAAUCUGCUCAGGGCCAAGGAUCCUCUUCCUGUCCAGAGCAGAGGUUUUUCGGGUAGGAGGAGAAAGCACCCCCAAAACUCUCAAAGGAAAAGGGCCCAAGACCGAGCUUAGGAUCACACCUGAGGAGCAAUGAUAUGAUGAGCAAUGAUCUGAGGGACCGGCGGGGUCCCAGCUCCUGUACUUUCCACAUGGAGCACCUCCAGAUAUCGCCCACACCCCUGAGUGGGUGAACUGGGAUCACAGACAAGCAGAACUGUCAGGACCUGACUGCGGACCUGAGCACUGAACGCCAGACAAACCAAAGAGAAAGGAGAAGUUGACCAGAGAAUGACCCCAGAUCUCAUACAUACUCACUUCCAUGCAUCAGCAUAUUGAAGGACACGCCUGGAAAGCUGGUGAAUAUUCUGAUUGAAUCAUCCCCUAAAAUUGCCACCUGCAGAAAACAUAAAAACUCUCAAGACUAAGGACCCACGUGCACUGUUUCUGGAGCACAUCCUCGUCUGCCCACUCGUCCUUCCUCAGCUUUCAUUUCAGAAACUACAGAGAAGGCCCAUCCUGGCUCCUAGAAAACAGCUGACCUCCCGGGCCACUGCUGCAGAUCACUACCUGGAGCCCUGGCUGGUGUGGCUCAGUGGGUUGAGCACUGGCCUGGGAACCAAAAGUUGCUGGUUCGAUUCCCAGUCAGGGCACAUGCCCGGGUUGCGGGGCAGGUCCGCAGUAGGGGGCACAUGAGAGGCAACCACACACUGAUGUUUCUCUCCCUCUCUUCCCCUCUGUAAAAAAAAUAAAUAAAUAAAAUAUUUUUUAAAAAAAGAUUGCUACCUGGGGACAAGUGGAGGCAUCUGGGCCUUUGUGUUCCAAGGAGAGACAGAGGACCACCUGCUCCUGGGGACAGCUAACUGCCCAGGACAGGAAUGUUGCAGCUUCUAUCACCUAAUCCUCCCUGAAUCUCAGAGCCUUCAAAUCUCACCUUGUUUAUUACCUGUUACAAAAAGUCUGGCCUGGAAGGAGCAGGCAGGACGGUCUGUUAGGGUGUGAACCCACCACCUUCUCAGACCGCCGGCCACCUGAAUAAAGCACCCGUAAAGAUUCAGUCGCUGUCCUUG
Long non-coding RNA from Artibeus jamaicensis (Jamaican fruit-eating bat), 1160 nucleotides. RefSeq lists it as uncharacterized. NCBI's taxonomy places the organism in Eukaryota, Metazoa, Chordata, Mammalia, Chiroptera, Phyllostomidae. The transcript has 5 exons. The record is from RefSeq and is a predicted model, not a curated record.